Molecule: ribosomal RNA, 472 nt
Filed under: uncultured bacterium
Lineage: Bacteria
Description: bacterial SSU rRNA
Rfam family: Bacterial small subunit ribosomal RNA
Source: RNAcentral
AUUGAACGCUGGCGGCAUGCCUUACACAUGCAAGUCGAACGAGACCUUCGGGUCUAGUGGCGCACGGGUGCGUAACGCGUGGGAAUCUGCCCUUGGGUUCGGAAUAACAGUUAGAAAUGACUGCUAAUACCGGAUGAUGUCUUCGGACCAAAGAUUUAUCGCCCAGGGAUGAGCCCGCGUAGGAUUAGCUAGUUGGUGGGGUAAAGGCCUACCAAGGCGACGAUCCUUAGCUGGUCUGAGGGGAUGAUCAGCCACACUGGGACUGAGACACGGCCCAGACUCCUACGGGAGGCAGCAGUGGGGAAUAUUGGACAAUGGGCGAAAGCCUGAUCCAGCAAUGCCGCGUGAGUGAUGAAGGCCUUAGGGUGUAAAGCUCUUUGUCAGGGAGAAACGGUGAGUUCUAAUAAAGCUUGCUAAUGACGGUACCUGAAGAAUAAGCACCGGCUAACUACGUGCCAGCAGCCGCGGUAAU